RNAcentral lists this transfer RNA (92 nucleotides) under Herpetospermum pedunculosum. RNAcentral's name for it is "tRNA-Val". It matches the Rfam family "tRNA". From Rfam's summary of the family: Transfer RNA (tRNA) molecules are approximately 80 nucleotides in length. Their secondary structure includes four short double-helical elements and three loops (D, anti-codon, and T loops). Lineage: Eukaryota; Viridiplantae; Streptophyta; Magnoliopsida; Cucurbitales; Cucurbitaceae. The record is from RNAcentral.
AGGGCUAUAGCUCAGUUGGUAGAGCACCUCGUUUACACGCUAAUAAGUUUGAUCUGUUUUACCGAGAAGGUCUACGGUUCGAAUCCGUAUAG